Molecule: ribosomal RNA, 237 nt
Filed under: uncultured bacterium
Lineage: Bacteria
Description: partial 16S ribosomal RNA
Rfam family: Bacterial small subunit ribosomal RNA
Source: RNAcentral
CCGGCACGGGUGAGUAACACGUAUCCAACCUGCCGUCUACUCUUGGACAGCCUUCUGAAAGGAAGAUUAAUACAAGAUGGCAUCAUGAGUUCACAUGUUCACAUGAUUAAAGGUAUUCCGGUAGACGAUGGGGAUGCGUUCCAUUAGAUAGUAGGCGGGGUAACGGCCCACCUAGUCUUCGAUGGAUAGGGGUUCUGAGAGGAAGGUCCCCCACACUGGAACUGAGACACGGUCCAA